AAGUCGUAACAAGGUUUCCGUAGGUGAACCUGCGGAAGGAUCAUUACCAUAUCCAAAAUUUAUCAACCCACUGUGUGAACCGUUUUUCGAGGGAGACUAGAGAAAAAGACUUUUUCUUCUUUUUUUUAAUGGUCUUUUUUCUUGGAAAAUACUCGUGUUAUUUGGGGGGAAGGCUCGUAACUGAGUUGGAACCCCAUUAGCAUUUUUUCUGAGUGGAAGGCUAUUUCUGAUGGGAAGGUAAAGGUCUUUUUUCUGUAGCUCUUCCAAACAAAAAUUAACACCUUGUCAAACCAAAGCUCUUUUUUUUUCAAAAAAAAGCAUACUAACUUGAUUUUUUGUGGCAACACAAGGAACCAUUAAAACAAAACCAAUAGACAACUUACAACGGUGGAUCUCUUGGCUCGU
This 405-nucleotide unclassified non-coding RNA is filed under the name fungal sp. RNAcentral's name for it is "partial internal transcribed spacer region". The stretch from base 1 to 46 matches the Rfam family "Eukaryotic small subunit ribosomal RNA", at positions 1786 to 1831 of the family's 1831-position model. The record is from RNAcentral. Lineage: Eukaryota; Fungi.